This 966-nucleotide ribosomal RNA is filed under the name Triticum aestivum (bread wheat). RNAcentral describes it as "partial small subunit ribosomal RNA". Lineage: Eukaryota; Viridiplantae; Streptophyta; Magnoliopsida; Poales; Poaceae. The record is from RNAcentral.
AUGAGUUUGCCUAUUACGCUUCAUCUUUUUAAUAUCUUUCGUGAGAAUGAUGGAAAGGAAAAUUGUGCUCAAGUGCUAGAAGAAGAAUGCAUUAAAAUGUUUGGUACUAGAUCUUUGUAUGAUGAGCAUGAUUGCAAUGUUGUUAGUAUGAAUUCCUUGAAUAUCCAUGAUGCUAAUGAUAUGCAAAGCCACAAGCUUGGGGAAGCUAUGUUUGAUGAAGAUGAUAUUUUUUGUCCCCCAAGUUUUGAUGAGCAAAUUUAUUAUGAUGAAAGCAUGCCUCAUAUUUAUGAUGAUUAUAUUGAUGAAAGUGGGUUUGGAAGAGUGCCAACUUUAGGAAAUAGUGAUCCCACUAUUUUGGAGGAUGUUGAAUCUUAUUGUGAUGAACAUGAAAGUGGAUUUGGAAGAGUGUCAACUUUAUUUAGUGAUGAUUCCACUAUUUCGGAAGAGGUUCCAAUUAAUUAUGAGAACAAAGUUUCUAUCUAUGAUGAUUACCAUGAUGAAUUGUAUGCUAUUAGGAAUAAUGAUAACCAUGAAACUUGUCAUCAUGAUUUUAGUUUUCAAUUGGAUUGUGCCCCACAUGAUAAUUAUUUUGUUGAGUUUGCUCCCACUACUAUUCAUGAGAAGAAUUUUGCUUAUGUGGAGAGUAGUAAAUUUUCUAUGCUUGUAGAUCAUGAAAAGAAUGCUUUAGGUGCUGGUUAUAUUGUUGAAUUCAUUCAUGAUGCUACUGAAAACUAUUAUGAGGAAGGAACAUAUGCUUGUAGGAAUUGCAAUAAUAUCAAGUUUCCUCUCUAUGUGCUUAAAGUUUUGAAGUUAUGCUUGUUUUGCCCUCCUAUGCUAGUUGAUUAUUGCUCCCAUAAGUUGUUUUCUCACAAAAUCCCUAUGCAUAGAAAGUGGGUUAGACUUAAAUGUGCUAGUCAUAUUCUUCAUGAUGCUCUCUUUAUGUUUCAAUUCUUAUCUUUUAUGUGA